This is a non-coding RNA of Salvelinus sp. IW2-2015, 872 nucleotides long. The record is from RefSeq and is a predicted model, not a curated record. Lineage: Eukaryota; Metazoa; Chordata; Actinopteri; Salmoniformes; Salmonidae.
CCCCCUCUCACUGUUUCAGGUGGACUCUCCCCAGGAAGAGGAGCUCCUCUCUACUCUCAGCAGUCUGAGCGCUGAACUCUGCAAGCUGGACGACAUACACUGGAUCUGCCCUGCCAUGCACUGCUCUGAGGAGGUGGCUGACACUGUGAGGGUGAGCGGUAAGAGCAGUAUUAAGAUGAAGAUGAUGCCUAAGGUGAAGAGGGAGAGAGAGAAGCUCCACAAGCAGAAGUCCAAUAGCUCUCUGUCGGGAUCUUGGGAUAUUAAAGGUGGCGCAUAUGAGACGGCUCCUUCAGGCAAUUGAGGAACUUAGCACAAAUGCUUAACAAGGUACACCCAUCACCAUGGCAGCCAGGGGAGGCGAGGGGUGUCACCCUCUUCUUCCUACGAGAUGUAGGCUUUACCUACCGAGGGGUGAGAAGUACAGAAUGAUUCCACGACCCUCCCGCCUUUCAGCUAACACCUCCCCCUUGACUCUCGAUGUUCUCCAUUUUGAAAUUGGGGAGGAGUUGUUUUUAACUAGGGGGUGUGGCUUUGCAUCCUAUCACCAUUUUGGGUCCUGUUAUUGGUUCUAUUUGGCCUGCUGACCCAGGAUGUGGGCGUGGCUUCUUGAGAUGAAAGCAGAGGAGGAGAGAUGCUCUCUUAGCAACUUGUUUCCUUGACGACGCAAUGUGUUUACGUAGGCGGAGCUCUCCUUUGCAUGACAUGAGCAGCCAUUUUGUUUUUAUUCUUAGAUAACUCCUUUGUUUGGCAGGCGUUUACACUUCCUCUUUUCUCUCUCUUUUGUCAUCUUUAUUGACUUUCGCGACAACUUACAGGACUUUUUAGUUUCCUCAAGAAAUCUGAAGUCUGAAGACGACUUUGCUUUCUGUUUC